This 468-nucleotide ribosomal RNA is filed under the name uncultured bacterium. RNAcentral's name for it is "partial 16S ribosomal RNA". It matches the Rfam family "Bacterial small subunit ribosomal RNA", at positions 28 to 507 of the family's 1533-position model. The record is from RNAcentral.
GACGAACGCUGGCGGCGUGCUUAACACAUGCAAGUCGAACGGAAAGGCCCUGCUUUUGUGGGGUGCUCGAGUGGCGAACGGGUGAGUAACACGUGAGUAACCUGCCCUUGACUUUGGGAUAACUUCAGGAAACUGGGGCUAAUACCGGAUAGGAGCUCCUGCUGCAUGGUGGGGGUUGGAAAGUUUCGGCGGUUGGGGAUGGACUCGCGGCUUAUCAGCUUGUUGGUGGGGUAGUGGCUUACCAAGGCUUUGACGGGUAGCCGGCCUGGGAGGGUGACCGGCCACAUUGGGACUGAGAUACGGCCCAGACUCCUACGGGAGGCAGCAGUGGGGAAUAUUGCACAAUGGGCGGAAGCCUGAUGCGGCAACGCCGCGUGCGGGAUGCCGGCCUUCGGGUUGUAAACCGCUUUCGCCUGUGACGAAGCGUGAGUGACGGUAAUGGGUAAAGAAGCACCGGCUAACUACGUG